AGCAGCCGCGGUAAUUCCAGCUCCAAUAGCGUAUAUUAAAGUUGUUGCAGUUAAAAAGCUCGUAGUUGAAUUUCGGGGUUAGUAGGUUGGUCAUGCCACUGGUAUGUACUGGUCUCACUGAUUCCUCCUUCCUGAUGAACCGUAAUGCCAUUAAUUUGGUGUUGCGGGGAAACUGGACUGUUACUUUGAAAAAAUUAGAGUGUUUAAAGCAGGCUAACGCUUGAAUACAUUAGCAUGGAAUAAUGAAAUAGGACGUUCGAUCCUAUUUUGUUGGUUUCUAGGAUUGACGUAAUGAUUAAUAGGGAUAGUUGGGGGCAUUAGUAUUCAAUUGUCAGAGGUGAAAUUCUUGGAUUUAUUGAAGACUAACUACUGCGAAAGCAUUUGCCAAGGAUGUUUUCAUUAAUCAAGAACGAAAGUUAGGGGAUCGAAGACGAUCGGAUACCGUCGUAGUCUUAACCAUAAACUAUGCCGACUAGGGAUCGGAUGAUGUUAAUUUUUUAAUGACUCAUUCGGCGCCUUACG
RNAcentral lists this ribosomal RNA (522 nucleotides) under uncultured Glomus. RNAcentral describes it as "SSU rRNA". It matches the Rfam family "Eukaryotic small subunit ribosomal RNA", at positions 569 to 1092 of the family's 1831-position model. The record is from RNAcentral. Lineage: Eukaryota; Fungi; Glomeromycota; Glomeromycetes; Glomerales; Glomeraceae.